Drosophila melanogaster (fruit fly) is the source of this 350-nucleotide non-coding RNA. NCBI's taxonomy places the organism in Eukaryota, Metazoa, Arthropoda, Insecta, Diptera, Drosophilidae. The record is from Ensembl.
CUUAAUGAAGAUUUCACCAAAAUAUUGUGAUUCGUUUGAUAUUGAUAUUCAUUUUGUAUUCUUCCCUAAAAUUUUGUCCUAUGUAAAUUCGACGCUAACCCUUGGCACUGCCAACGCCCAGCCUUUCCCCCUCUGCUCAGCAGCUUAUCAAAAGGACACACCCAGGAACAAGAAUUGCGCUAAUUAGACCGACAACAGCCACGCACAUCAUCAACAUGCCCGCCUUUCGGCCAUGAAUCAGGAUAUUGCCGCACCCAUCUUGCGGCAAGUGUAAACAUAAUACGUGGUGUUCCACAGAAAAACUAUUUGCCCAAUAAAUCAAAUUGACUGAACGGUGGCAAGUAGAGCCG